RNAcentral lists this long non-coding RNA (4623 nucleotides) under Sus scrofa (pig). RNAcentral describes it as "lncRNA (ENSSSCG00040038946.1)". Lineage: Eukaryota; Metazoa; Chordata; Mammalia; Artiodactyla; Suidae. The record is from RNAcentral.
CUUGAGAGAACAGGGGUGCAAUGAAAGACUGUAAGCAGAGGCAAGAUGGCACAAAGUUGUCCUUCGGAAAGAUUAGUGUGGUUGCUGUGUAGAGAACUGAUUGGGAGGUGAGUGUGGCUGAACUACAGGCAAAGAGACUAAUUAAGAAGCUCUCCCAGCAAUCCAAGUGAGAGAUUGAUUAAUCAGGAUUGCUAUGCCAUUUGCAGCAACAUGGAUGGAACUAGAGAAUCUCAUACUGAGUGGAAUGAGCCAGAAAGACAAAGACAAAUACCAUAUGAUAUCACUUAUAACUGGAAUCUAAUAUCCAGCACAAAUGAACAUCUCCUCAGAAAAGAAAAUCAUGGACUUGGAGAAGAAACUUGUGGUUGCCUGACGGGAGGGGGAGGGAGGGGGAGGGAGUGGGAGGGAUCAGGAGCUUGGGCUUAUCAGACACAACCUAGAAUAGAUUUACAAGGAGAUCCUGCUGAAUAGCAUUGAGAACUAUGUCUAGAUACUCAUGUUGCAACAGAAGAAAGGGCGGGGGAAAAACUGUAAUUGCAAUGUAUACAUCUAAGGAUAACCUGACCCCCUUGGUGUACAGUGGGAAAAAAAAUAAAAUAAAAUAUAUUUACUCUUUGUAGUUGAAAGUUGAGAUUAUUUGCAAAAUUAAUUAUAUUUUAAAGGACUAACAAAUCGAUGCAUGUAGGUUUGAAACAAGAAGCAUUAUGUUUAGGGACUGCGCAAUACACUAACUAGUCAGAGAUAAAAUGAGAAAGGCAUGCACAUUACAAACUCGGAAUUUGCUAGCAAGGUCAACUUAAUCUUUCCAGAGCAAUCAUUUCCACCUUUGGAACUUAUAGUCAUUAUCAAGGGAUGGAGUAAAAGAAAAGUGAGAGAGUGUUCAUGGCCAUUUAAAUUCAACUGCUUUUUCUGCAUGUACUAUCCCCACUGCCACCUGUCUCAGAAUAGUGAGUUUUUCAGGUAGGUGUAUGCCAUCAAUUUUUAUAAGGCCAAGUAGGAGGUUCUCCAGUUACCGCACGGACCAUUAGCAUAGCAAAUAAAUUUGGCUCUUUCUUAAAGACUAUUCAGAAUCUGACCAAUUCUUAGCAACUCACUGCCACACUCCUGAGCCAAGGCACCAUCCUCUUCUUCCUAACUUUUAUCUUCUAAGUCCUCCCUCACCUUCUUCCCUUGCCUUCCUAUACUCUAGUCUAGAAGAAAAGCAGCCUGAGUAAACCUUUUAAAACGUAGGUCAAAUCAUGUGAUGACUCUUGCUCAAAAUCUCCCAACAGCUCCUGUUUUUUUCUAAAAGUAAAAAUCCAUUUAAAAUACGGAGUUCCUGUUGUGCCUCAGCAGUAAUGAACCUGAUUAGUAUCCUUGAGGAUGUGGGUUCAAUCCCUGGCUCCCUUCAGUAGGUUAGGGAUCUGGUGUUGUAGUGAGCUGUGGUGUAGGUUGCAGAUGCAGCUUGGAUCUGGAGUUGCUGUGGCUGUGGCAUACGCUGGCAGCUACAGCUCCAAUUCAACCCGUAGCCUGGGAAUUUCAUAUGCCACAAGUAUGGCCCUUAAAAAAUAAAAUAAAAUAAAAUAAAAUAAAAUAAAAUAAACAAAUACAUAAAUAAAAUGAGUAUGAGUCCUUUGUGAUAAGUUCCUGAUCUCAUCUCUCAUUACUUCCCCCUUACUCUCUCAUUCUAUAAUAGGAGAGAACAAAUCUGACUGCAUAUUAGAUCUGUUCCUUUUUCCUUUAACUUUAAACUUAGUACUUUGUCACUUGUGCUUAGUCUUCCUGGCUUUGUAACCCUUUGCAAAAGGUCACUGCCUAUAGCAUGAAAUAUAUAGGCUAGCCUAUUCUUAAGGCUGUGACCUUUAAGAGUAGUAUAUUUUUAGAUAAAAAGUUGCAGAACAGAGAAUAACAUUUGUUUUGUUGGAGGUUUACAGGAACAUCUGACCUGAUUGAGGUGGACAUCUACAAGAACAGAGACUUUUGGCACCAAGAAGUCUGCAAAAACUAACUGUUCCACCUCUACUUUCUUGAAUAGAAGGAGCCUGAAUUCUCACUAAGGGGAGAUGGUUUUUUGAGACAUUAGUCUCCCAUAUUCUCCGUCUGCUAGCUUUCCUAUUAAAAGUUUUUGCUUCUUGCCCAAACAACUUGUCUACCAAGUUAUUGGCCUGUCUUGUGGGGAGCAGAAUGAGCUUGGACUCAGGAACCUUUCCAGCCAUUCUGGUCUCCUCAGUGCCUCUUGAUCACCUCAGGCAUGUUCCUGUCUCAAGGCCUUUGCACUUAUUGUUUCCUCUCCCUAGACAUCUUUAGAAGUUCCUGGGCCAGGGAUUGGACCUGCACCCCAGCAGUGGCCUGAACCACAGCCGUGGCAAUGCCAGAUCCUUUAACCACUAGGCCAGUAGGGGAUUUCUUUACCCAGGUUUCUACAUGAUUCACUCCCUCGGCAAUAUCAGGUCAGUAUUGUAUGAUCACAUUCAUACACAUUCACAAUCUUCAGCAUUGAGAACAGACUUGAUAUGUCGUAGGUACUACAUAAUGAGUUGACGAAUGAUGCUAAAAUCUCUACGUAGUCAAAGCAACAUUCAUUCAUGAGUACAAACAAUUUUCUCCUUAAUUAACAUAUAUAGAUGUGAUACAUCAGCUUUAAAUAUUUCAUAUUUAAAUAUAUCAUGCAAGUAAACAGGAAACAUUUUAGGUUUCCUCUAAAACAAAAAACUCUGAAAAUUUUUGAUACAUGGCUUAUGAAGAAAUUAAAAUGUAACAGGUAACUAAAGUUCAAGAAAAGGUUUAAGUGAUAUAAAAAGGUCACUUAUGUGCCUUUUGAGGCUGGUGAGUCCUGAAAUGGAGAGCACUUAACCUUUUUUGAAUGCUGAGAGAGAUCUGGAUAUAGUUUGGGAUUUGAACUGGCUGAGCAGAGUUGCAUUGCUUUAUUGAGGGAGGUGGGAUUUGAAGUGAUAUUUUCCCUCCUGUUCUCUACCCCUUUAGUGCUGUAUGUGGAAAAUAAGGGAGAAAAGUGAAGAAGGAGAAGUCAGAGGGUGCACGCUCCUUAAGAAAUGACAACAGGAAUUUGUUGAGUGCCUACUUUGUUCAAGAUAUGGUAGCAGAGAGGCUGCACAUAUGUUAUCCCGUUUAAUUUUCACAAGGACUCUGUGAAGUAUAUAUUAUCUGCUCUUAGGAGAUAAGGAAGCUGAGAGAGGUCUAAAGAGCUUUCAUUUUUUUUUUUUUUUGCACAGAAUUUAUUGGUGCUGAGAUUGAACCUAAUCUGCUACAACACCUCUUUCUCCAAGAAUUACUGCUUGCGUGUGCUUUGAACCACUCUUUCCUUCUCGCUGAAAAGCAGGAGAUCUUUUUUCUUAGAAAAUAUUUUACAAAUUGGCAUUUGGUUUCCAGGUAAAUUCAUUAAAACUCUUCGUAAUGCAUAACGUAGCUGAAAGAUCCUGAUUGUUUCUAUGGAAAUAUGAGCUCAGAGUGCUAAACUGCCAACUUAACAAAUGAACUUCGGGGAUGUAAUCUGUUUCUCUUCUCUCAGGGGAGAUAAAUAGGUGGCAAUGUUCAAUUCCUCUACACAUUCUGGGUAUCAUCUUUCCAGAUAUCAUUUGGUUGCGUUGCACUUUCUCCCACCUCCAGAGUACAAAAGCUGCAAGAUUUUCUACCACACAGAAGUAAAUGCUGAGCCUCAGAGCCGAUUUUUCAUUUCAGACACUGCAGGUUUAAAUGUGCACUUGCGAGCUCCAAAUAUGAUUAUAAAUACAUCAGCCAAAGCAAACUGUAAUUUUUACAAAAUAAAUCUGGGGAGUAUGUUUUUCUGAAACCUAAUGCUCCUUGUCUAAGUGUGUAGUAGGAAAAGGAAAAGGAAGGAUGGGAGAAUAGCUCAUAUCCUAUUCAUUGGCAGUGCUGUAUCCCAUACAAAACCCAGUGAGGAAUAAUCAAGACAAAUGGCCUCAUCUCUCUUUCUUUGUCAGUUCCUAAGAGUGAGGUGUUUAAGAAAGCCAAGAACGCCUAGUCAAUUCAAAACAGAGUUGUCUAUUGCUACUCAAAAUACAGAAUCAGCUAUACCUAGGAACUUGUUAAAAUGCAAAUUCUCCAGCUUACGACAGGAAUCAGGAUGCAGCAAUCUGUCUUUUACAAGAUCUCUGAGUGAUUAUGAUGAAGCUAAAUGUCGAAAAGCAUGAACUAAAGUGAAGGGCUUAAACUGUGACCCAGGGAAUGGAGUUCAAGUCCUUGUAACAUCACUUGGUAGAGAAUUAUUUUGGGAGAAGUCAUGUAACCACUCUGAGUUUCCUGUUCCUUAUCUGUAAGAUAAAGCAGCUGAACUAACAUCCUUGAUGUGAUAUCCCUAACAUCAGAGCAUCUUGUGGUUACCUGAUGCUGGUAUGAAUGCCUCUCACAUUAAUAAGAUUUGGCUAUCAUUACUUGCUUGAAUUUCUCUCUUCUAGCUAAUGUGAUGAUGCUGACGAUGAUGAUGAUGGAGCAGUACUAAUACCUUUGUGCCUCCUGAGUGCCAUGCUCUUUGUGAGGAGUGACUUUUGUUUUACCUGUGUCCUCUACUAGUAAUUCUUUUGAUUUUAGUGUUAAUAAAACCUAGAGAGGUUAUGUAACAUCCUUAGGGUCACAAAGAAUGUGUAUGACAGUGCCAGGAUUCAAAUC